GAAAUGCGAUAAGUAAUGUGAAUUGCAGAAUUCAGUGAAUCAUCGAAUCUUUGAACGCACCUUGCGCUCCUUGGUAUUCCUUGGAGCAUGCCUGUUUGAGUAUCAUGAAAUCUUCAAAGUAAAUCUUUUGUUAACUCAAUUGGUUUCUACUUUGGUAUUGGAGGUCUUUCAGCUUCACACCUGCUCCUCUUUGUUCAUUAGCUGGAUCUCAGUGUUAUGCUUGGUUCCACUCGGCGUGAUAAGUUAUCUAUCGCUGAGGACACUGUAAAAGGUGGCCAAGGUAAAUGCAGAUGAACCGCUUCUAAUAGUCCAUUGACUUGGACAAUACUUUUAUGAUCUGAUCUCAAAUCAGGUAGGACUACCCGCUGAACUUAAGC
Molecule: unclassified non-coding RNA, 377 nt
Filed under: plant metagenome
Description: partial contains 5.8S ribosomal RNA, internal transcribed spacer 2, and large subunit ribosomal RNA
Rfam family: 5.8S ribosomal RNA (bases 1-105)
Source: RNAcentral